GCCAGGUAUAGGGUUGUACGUGUCUGUAUUCUCAGCUACUCAGGAGGCUGAGGCAGAAGGAUUGCUUGAGCCCAGGAGUUCUGGGCUGUAGUACGCUAUGCCAAUCAGGUGUCUGCACUAAGUUUAGCAUCAAUAUGGUGACCUCCUUGGAGCAGGGGACCACCAGGUUGCCUAAAGAGCAGUGAACUGGCCCAGGUUGGAAAUGGAGCAGGUCAAAACUCCUGUGCUGAACAAUAGUGGGAUUGCUCCUAUGAAUAGCCACUGCACUCCAGCCUGGCAACAUAGCAAGAUCCCAUCCCUA
Molecule: non-coding RNA, 301 nt
Organism: Callithrix jacchus (white-tufted-ear marmoset)
Lineage: Eukaryota; Metazoa; Chordata; Mammalia; Primates; Cebidae
Source: Rfam